Molecule: long non-coding RNA, 442 nt
Organism: Bubalus bubalis (water buffalo)
Lineage: Eukaryota; Metazoa; Chordata; Mammalia; Artiodactyla; Bovidae
Exons: 2
Source: RefSeq, a predicted model, not a curated record
UCUGUCUAUGGACUGUGUUUCUUCCCUGAAUAAACCUUCUUUCACUUUACUGUGGCUCACUCUUGAAUUCUUUCCUGUGCAAAACCAACAACCCACAAUUGGCAGCCAUCCCAUGGACUUGGACAUGGCCUGCUAGUGCCUGGAGAAUCCCGAGGACGGAGGAGCCUGGUUGGCUGCCGUCUAUGGGGUCGCACAGAGUCGGACACGACUGAAGCGACUUAGCAGCAGCAGCAGCAGCAGUGUAUCCUAGAAGCUUUCCAAGGCACAGGGGAUAAAUAGUUAAGAAUCCUGCCUUCUUGGAGCUUGUAUUCUAGACAGUAAACAAAAUAAUAAAAAACUGAUAUAAUAUUUUAGGAGCAUCAUUGAUUAACAAUGUUGUUAGUUUCAGAUAUACAGCAAAGUGAUUCAGUUAUAAAUAAAUAUGCAUCUAUUCUUUUUCAAA